UACUCMUACGGGAGGCAGCAGUGGGGAAUAUUGGACAAUGGGCGCAAGCCUGAUCCAGCAAUGCCGCGUGUGUGAAGAAGGUCUUYGGAUUGUAAAGCACUUUCGACGGGGACGAUGAUGACGGUACCCGUAGAAGAAGCCCCGGCUAACUUCGUGCCAGCAGCCGCGGUAAUACGGAGGGGGCUAGCGUUGCUCGGAAUGACUGGGCGUAAAGGGCGCGUAGGCGGAUGACACAGUCAGAUGUGAAAUUCUCGGGCUUAACCUGGGGGCUGCAUUUGAUACGUGUGAUCUAGAGUGAGGAAGAGGGUUGUGGAAUUCCCAGUGUAGAGGUGAAAUUCGUAGAUAUUGGGAAGAACACCGGUGGCGAAGGCGGCAACCUGGUCCUUGACUGACGCUGAGGCGCGAAAGCGUGGGGAGCAAACMGGRUUAGAUWMCCYKGGURGUCCMCGCUGUAAACGAUGUGUGCUGGAUGUUGGGCGACCUAGUCGCUCAGUGUCGUAGCUAACGCGAUAAGCACACCGCCUGGGGAGUACGGCCGCRAAGGUUGAAACUCAAAGGRAAUUGACGG
Molecule: ribosomal RNA, 568 nt
Filed under: uncultured Acidisphaera sp.
Lineage: Bacteria; Pseudomonadati; Pseudomonadota; Alphaproteobacteria; Acetobacterales; Acetobacteraceae
Description: partial 16S ribosomal RNA
Rfam family: Bacterial small subunit ribosomal RNA
Source: RNAcentral